This 496-nucleotide ribosomal RNA is filed under the name uncultured bacterium. Its description in RNAcentral is "partial 16S ribosomal RNA". It matches the Rfam family "Bacterial small subunit ribosomal RNA", at positions 36 to 506 of the family's 1533-position model. The record is from RNAcentral.
UCUUCCCUCUUUCUUCGUGCCUAAUACAUGCAAGUCGAGCGAACAGACGAGGAGCUUGCUCCUCUGACGUUAGCGGCGGACGGGUGAGUAACACGUGGAUAACCUACCUAUAAGACUGGGAUAACUUCGGGAAACCGGAGCUAAUACCGGAUAAUAUAUUGAACCGCAUGGUUCAAUAGUGAAAGACGGUUUUGCUGUCACUUAUAGAUGGAUCCGCGCCGCAUUAGCUAGUUGGUAAGGUAACGGCUUACCAAGGCAACGAUGCGUAGCCGACCUGAGAGGGUGAUCGGCCACACUGGAACUGAGACACGGUCCAGACUCCUACGGGAGGCAGCAGUAGGGAAUCUUCCGCAAUGGGCGAAAGCUUGACGGAGCAACGCCGCGUGAGUGAUGAAGGUCUGCGGAUCGUAAAACUCUGUUAUUAGGGAAGAACAAAUGUGUAAGUAACGAUGCACGUCUGGACGGUACCUAAUCAGAAAGCCACGGCUAACUACGU